GAUGAACGCUGGCGGCGUGCCUAAUACAUGCAAGUCGAGCGAACGGACGAGGAGCUUGCUCCUCUGACGUUAGCGGCGGACGGGUGAGUAACACGUGGAUAACCUACCUAUAAGACUGGGAUAACUUCGGGAAACCGGAGCUAAUACCGGAUAAUAUAUUGAACCGCAUGGUUCAAUAGUGAAUGACGGUUUUGCUGUCACUUAUAGAUGGAUCCGCGCCGCAUUAGCUAGUUGGUAAGGUAACGGCUUACCAAGGCAACGAUGCGUAGCCGACCUGAGAGGGUGAUCGGCCACACUGGAACUGAGACACGGUCCAGACUCCUACGGGAGGCAGCAGUAGGGAAUAUUCCGCAAUGGGCGAAAGCAUGACGGAGCAACGCCGCGUGAGUGAUGAAGGUCUUCGGAUCGUAAAACUCUGUUAUUAGGGAAGAACAAAUGUGUAAGUAACUAUGCACGUCUUGACGGUACCUAAUCAGAAAGCCACGGCUAACUACGUG
RNAcentral lists this ribosomal RNA (497 nucleotides) under uncultured bacterium. RNAcentral's name for it is "partial 16S ribosomal RNA". It matches the Rfam family "Bacterial small subunit ribosomal RNA", at positions 28 to 507 of the family's 1533-position model. The record is from RNAcentral.